RNAcentral lists this transfer RNA (22 nucleotides) under Lepidorhombus boscii (fourspotted megrim). RNAcentral's name for it is "partial tRNA-Glu". The record is from RNAcentral. Lineage: Eukaryota; Metazoa; Chordata; Actinopteri; Pleuronectiformes; Scophthalmidae.
UCAUUCAACUACAAGAACCUUA